This 131-nucleotide microRNA precursor is filed under the name Phaseolus vulgaris (common bean). Its description in RNAcentral is "pre miRNA mir-172". It matches the Rfam family "mir-172 microRNA precursor family". From Rfam's summary of the family: mir-172 has been experimentally verified in Arabidopsis thaliana. This family is thought to target mRNAs coding for APETALA2-like transcription factors. The mature sequence is excised from the 3' arm of the hairpin. The record is from Rfam by way of RNAcentral. Lineage: Eukaryota; Viridiplantae; Streptophyta; Magnoliopsida; Fabales; Fabaceae.
CUGUUUGCCGGUGGAGCAUCAUCAAGAUUCACAAGCUUUAGGGGCAUUAAUUUGUUUGAGGUGGUCCCUUAUUACUCCAAACCAAUUAGCCUUUGCGAUGGGAAUCUUGAUGAUGCUGCAGCAGCAAUAAA